GACGAACGCUGGCGGCGUACCUAAUACAUGCAAGUCGAGCGGACUUUCAAGAAGCUUGCUUUUUGAAAGUUAGCGGCGGACGGGUGAGUAACACGUGGGCAACCUGCCUGUAAGACGGGGAUAACUCCGGGAAACCGGGGCUAAUACCGGAUAAUAUCUUUCUUCGCAUGAAGGAAGGUUGAAAGGCGGCGCAAGCUGCCGCUUGCAGAUGGGCCCGCGGCGCAUUAGCUAGUUGGUGAGGUAACGGCCCACCAAGGCGACGAUGGGUAGCCGACCUGAGAGGGUGAUCGGCCACACUGGGACUGAGACACGGCCCAGACUCCUACGAGAGGCAGCAGUAGGGAAUCUUCCGCAAUGGACGAAAGUCUGACGGAGCAACGCCGCGUGAGCGAAGAAGGUCUUCGGAUCGUAAAGCUCUGUUGUCAGGGAAGAACAAGUACCGUUCGAAUAGGGCGGUACCUUGACGGUACUUGACCAGAAAGCCACGGCUAACUACGUGCCAGCAGCCGCGGUAA
Molecule: ribosomal RNA, 515 nt
Filed under: uncultured bacterium
Lineage: Bacteria
Description: partial 16S ribosomal RNA
Rfam family: Bacterial small subunit ribosomal RNA
Source: RNAcentral